RNAcentral lists this ribosomal RNA (440 nucleotides) under uncultured bacterium. RNAcentral describes it as "partial 16S ribosomal RNA". It matches the Rfam family "Bacterial small subunit ribosomal RNA", at positions 338 to 795 of the family's 1533-position model. The record is from RNAcentral.
CCUACGGGUGGCAGCAGUAGGGAAUAUUGCACAAUGAGGGAAACCCUGAUGCAGCGACGCCGCGUGAGUGAAGAAGUAUUUCGGUAUGUACAGCUCUAUCAGCAGGGAAGAAAAUGACGGUACCUGAUUAAGAAGCACCGGCUAACUACGUGCCAGCAGCCGCGGUCAUCCGUAGGGGGCAAGCGUUAUCCGGAUUUACUGGGUGGAAAGGGAGCGUAGACGGCAGCACAAGUCUGGAGGUAAGUGCCGGGGCUUAACCCCGGAACUGCUUUGGAAACUGUGCAGCUAGAGUGAAGGAGAGGUAAGUGGAAUUCCUAGUGUAGCGGUGAAAUGCGUAGAUAUUAGGAGGAACACCAGUGGCGAAGGCGGCUUACUGGACUGUAACUGACGUUGAGGCUCGAAAGCGUGGGGAGCAAACAGGAUUAGAUACCCUUGUAGUC